AACGAACGCUGGCGGCAUGCCUAACACAUGCAAGUCGAACGAGACCUUCGGGUCUAGGGGCGCACGGGGGCGUAACGCGUGGGAACCUGCCCAUAGGGUCGGAAUAACUCUCCGAAAGGGGUGCUAAUACCGGAUAAGAGCUUCUGACCCAAGAUUUAUCGCCUUUGGAGGUGCGCUAGUUGGAUUAGAUGGUUGGUAGGGUAAAAGCCUACCAAGGCGACGAUUCCUAACUGGGCUGAGAGGAUGAUCAGCCACCCUGGGACUGGGACACGGCCCAAACGCCUCCGGGAGGCCGCAGUCGUGACUAUUCAACACCGGGCGAAUGCCUGAUCCCGCCGUGCCGUGUGAGUGAUGAAGGACUUAGGGUUGUAAAGCUCUUUUACCCGGCAUGAUACUGCCAGUCCCGGGAGAAUAGGCUCCGGCUACCUCCGU
RNAcentral lists this ribosomal RNA (432 nucleotides) under uncultured bacterium. Its description in RNAcentral is "partial 16S ribosomal RNA". It matches the Rfam family "Bacterial small subunit ribosomal RNA", at positions 29 to 506 of the family's 1533-position model. The record is from RNAcentral.